CGGUGCCGUAGGUCGCCUUGACCACCCCGGGUCGCCAGCCGGCGUGCGCGAACAUGGCGGCGUGCGAGUCGCCGAGCACCGC
This 82-nucleotide transfer RNA is filed under the name Virgisporangium aurantiacum. Its description in RNAcentral is "tRNA-Gly". Lineage: Bacteria; Bacillati; Actinomycetota; Actinomycetes; Micromonosporales; Micromonosporaceae. The record is from RNAcentral.